GCAAGUCGAACGAGGCCCUUUGUAUUCGUACGAAGGUGUCCUAGUGGCGAACGGGUGAGUAACACGUUGGUGACCUGCCCCGAAGAGAGGGACAACCCCGGGAAACUGGGGCUAAUACCUCAUGUGCUCCAUGGUGUUAGAGGACCAUGGAGGAAAGGGAGCAAUCCGCUUCGGGAGGGGCCUGCGGCCCAUCAGCUAGUUGGUAGGGUAACGGCCUACCAAGGCGACGACGGGUAGGGGACCUGAGAGGGUGGUCCCCCACACUGGUACUGAAACACGGACCAGACACCUACGGGUGGCAGCAGUAGGGAAUAUUGCCCAAUGGACGAAAGUCUGAGGCAGCAACGCCGCGUGCGCGAUGAAGGCCUUCGGGUUGUAAAGCGCUUUUCUGGGGGAAGAGGA
This 402-nucleotide ribosomal RNA is filed under the name uncultured Chloroflexota bacterium. RNAcentral describes it as "bacterial SSU rRNA". It matches the Rfam family "Bacterial small subunit ribosomal RNA", at positions 57 to 451 of the family's 1533-position model. The record is from RNAcentral. Lineage: Bacteria; Bacillati; Chloroflexota.